This is a long non-coding RNA of Alligator mississippiensis (American alligator), 451 nucleotides long. RefSeq lists it as uncharacterized. The transcript is spliced from 3 exons. The record is from RefSeq and is a predicted model, not a curated record. Lineage: Eukaryota; Metazoa; Chordata; Crocodylia; Alligatoridae.
UUUAUAACCAGAUCAGUAACAUUGCCUGGUUGUAAAGCUACUGAUAUUUUCCUGGAGGCAAGGAUAGGAGCUGUAGGGGAUGUGACCCCCACACCUGUCAUGUGCUGCCACUACCAUGGGCUUAGCUUCUGACAACAGCUGCAGCAUCACCGUAAUGAACCAUGACCAAAAGUCCAGGGGCAGCAGGACACUGCCUGCCAGACCCAAUGCCCAGGAUAUGCAGCGUCCCAGGUGAUAUUUAGAAAACUUUCAGGGACAGAACUCUCUGGGGGCGGCAAACAGCCCACAGCCUAGUGAAGAGGAGAGUAGAGUGAAGAUAGCGAAGAGGAGUAGAGUGAAAAUAUCUUCAGAUUUUGAAUUUUUUUUUGUAUAUAUUUUAUAUUGUAAAGUUCUAUAUAGUUAUUGUUAAAGCUGCAGUGUUUUCAGUAAAGAGUUUUUUAUUUUUGCUCUA